UACAGAGGUCUCAAGCGUUGUUCGGAUUCAUUGGGCGUAAAGGGUGCGUAGGUGGCGCCGUAAGUCAGGUGCGAAAUUUCGGAGCUUAACUCCGAAACUGCAUUUGAUACUGCGGUGCUUGAGGACUGGAGAGGAGACUGGAAUUUACGGUGUAGCAGUGAAAUGCGUAGAGAUCGUAAGGAAGUCCAGUGGCGAAGGCGGGUCUCUGGACAGUUCCUGACACUGAGGCACGAAGGCCAGGGGAGCAAACGGG
Molecule: ribosomal RNA, 253 nt
Filed under: uncultured bacterium
Lineage: Bacteria
Description: partial 16S ribosomal RNA
Rfam family: Bacterial small subunit ribosomal RNA
Source: RNAcentral